This 700-nucleotide ribosomal RNA is filed under the name uncultured Alphaproteobacteria bacterium. RNAcentral describes it as "bacterial SSU rRNA". It matches the Rfam family "Bacterial small subunit ribosomal RNA", at positions 42 to 790 of the family's 1533-position model. The record is from RNAcentral. Lineage: Bacteria; Pseudomonadati; Pseudomonadota; Alphaproteobacteria.
UCAGGCCUAACACAUGCAAGUCGAGCGCACCUUUGGGUGAGCGGCGGACGGGUGAGUAACGCGUGGGAAUAUGCCCUUCACUGCGGAAUAGCCUCUGGAAACGGAGAGUAAUACCGCAUGCGCCCUUCGGGGGAAAGAUUUAUCGGUGAAGGAUUAGCCCGCGUUGGAUUAGGUAGUUGGUGGGGUAAUGGCCUACCAAGCCGACGAUCCAUAGCUGGUUUGAGAGGAUGAUCAGCCACACUGGGACUGAGACACGGCCCAGACUCCUACGGAAGGCAGCAGUGGGGAAUCUUAGACAAUGGACGCAAGUCUGAUCUAGCCAUGCCGCGUGUGUGAUGAAGGCCUUAGGGUCGUAAAGCACUUUCGCCUGUGAUGAUAAUGACAGUAGCAGGUAAAGAAACCCCGGCUAACUCCGUGCCAGCAGCCGCGGUAAUACGGAGGGGGUUAGCGUUGUUCGGAAUUACUGGGCGUAAAGCGCGCGUAGGCGGAUUAGUCAGUCAGAGGUGAAAUCCCAGGGCUCAACCCUGGAACUGCCUUUGAUACUGCUAGUCUUGAGUUCGAGAGAGGUGAGUGGAAUUCCGAGUGUAGAGGUGAAAUUCGUAGAUAUUCGGAGGAACACCAGUGGCGAAGGCGGCUCACUGGCUCGAUACUGACGCUGAGGUGCGAAAGUGUGGGGAGCAAACAGGAUUAGAUACCCUGG